This 292-nucleotide ribosomal RNA is filed under the name uncultured bacterium. RNAcentral's name for it is "partial 16S ribosomal RNA". It matches the Rfam family "Bacterial small subunit ribosomal RNA", at positions 505 to 796 of the family's 1533-position model. The record is from RNAcentral.
GUGCCAGCAGCCGCGGUAAUACGUAGGGUCCGAGCGUUGUCCGGAAUUAUUGGGCGUAAAGAGCUCGUAGGCGGUCUGUUGCGUCGGUUGUGAAAACCUGGGGCUCAACUCCAGGCCUGCAAUCGAUACGGGCAGACUAGAGUUCGGUAGGGGAGACUGGAAUUCCUGGUGUAGCGGUGAAAUGCGCAGAUAUCAGGAGGAACACCGGUGGCGAAGGCGGGUCUCUGGGCCGAAACUGACGCUGAGGAGCGAAAGCGUGGGGAGCGAACAGGAUUAGAAACCCUGGUAGUCC